UACCAGCACCCCGAGUGGUCGGGACGUUUAUUGGGCCUAAAGCAUCCGUAGCCGGUUCUACAAGUCUUCCGUUAAAUCCACCUGCUCAACAGAUGGGCUGCGGAAGAUACUAUGGAGCUAGGAGGCGGGAGGGGCAAGCGGUACUCGAUGGGUAGGGGUAAAAUCCGUUGAUCCAUUGAAGACCACCAGUGGCGAAGGCGGCUUGCCAGAACGCGCUCGACGGUGAGGGAUGAAAGCUGGGGGAGCAAACCGG
RNAcentral lists this ribosomal RNA (253 nucleotides) under uncultured bacterium. RNAcentral describes it as "partial 16S ribosomal RNA". It matches the Rfam family "Archaeal small subunit ribosomal RNA", at positions 474 to 727 of the family's 1478-position model. The record is from RNAcentral.